UACAGAGGGUGCAAGCGUUAAUCGGAAUUACUGGGCGUAAAGCGUGCGUAGACGGUUGCGUAAGUCAGAUGUGAAAGCCCCGGGCUCAACCUGGGAAUUGCAUUUGAGACUGCGUAGCUAGGGUGCGGAAGAGGGAAGCGGAAUUUCCGGUGUAGCGGUGAAAUGCGUAGAUAUACGGAGGAACACCUGCGGCGAAGGCGGGUAGCUGGGCCAACACUGACGCUGAGACGCGAAAGCUAGGGGAGCAAACGGG
RNAcentral lists this ribosomal RNA (253 nucleotides) under uncultured bacterium. RNAcentral describes it as "partial 16S ribosomal RNA". It matches the Rfam family "Bacterial small subunit ribosomal RNA", at positions 524 to 776 of the family's 1533-position model. The record is from RNAcentral.